This 111-nucleotide ribosomal RNA is filed under the name Triticum aestivum (bread wheat). RNAcentral describes it as "partial small subunit ribosomal RNA". Lineage: Eukaryota; Viridiplantae; Streptophyta; Magnoliopsida; Poales; Poaceae. The record is from RNAcentral.
AUGGAGGGUCCCACUCCAGUAUCUGCUUUGAUUCAUGCAGCUACUAUGGUCACUGCUCGCGUUUUCAUGAUAGCAAGGAGCUAUGACGUCAUUCCUUGCGGCAACCAUUAG